CUACGGGGUGCUGCCGUGGGGAAUAUUGCACAAUGGGCGCAAGCCUGAUGCAGCCAUGCCGCGUGUCUGCAGAAGGCCUUCGGGUUGUAAAGUACUUUCAGCGGGGAGGAAGGGAGUAAAGUUAAUACCUUUGCUCAUUGACGUUACCCGCAGAAGAAGCACCGGCUAACUCCGUGCCAGCAGCCGCGGUAAUACGGAGGGUGCAAGCGUUAAUCGGAAUUACUGGGCGUAAAGCGCACGCAGGCGGUUUGUUACGUCAGAUGUGAAAUCCCCGGGCUCAACCUGGGAACUGCAUCUGAUACUGGCAAGCUUGAGUCUCGUAGAGGGGGGUAGAAUUCCAGGUGUAGCGGUGAAAUGCGUAGAGAUCUGGAGGAAUACCGGUGGCGAAGGCGGCCCCCUGGACGAAUACUGACGCGCAGGUGCGAAAGCGUGGGGAGCAAACAGGAUUAGAUACCCCGGUAGUC
This 464-nucleotide ribosomal RNA is filed under the name uncultured bacterium. RNAcentral's name for it is "partial 16S ribosomal RNA". It matches the Rfam family "Bacterial small subunit ribosomal RNA", at positions 339 to 795 of the family's 1533-position model. The record is from RNAcentral.